CCCUUAGAUGUUCUGGGCUGCACGCGUGCUACACUGAUAUUGCCAAUAUGUCAUUCUUAUCCGAAAUGGAUUGGGUAAUCAAGUAAUGAAAUUUCAUGCUUGGAAUCGGUAAUUGCAAUUUUAUCGUGAACGAGGAAUUCCUAGUAAGCACUAGUCAUCAGCUAAUGUUGAUUAUGUCCCUGCCCUUUGUACACACCGCCCGUCGCUCCUACCGAUUGGGUGUGCUGGUGAAAUGUUCGGAUCGGCCGUUUGUCGCGGUUUCCGCGGCUCGUGGCUGAGAAGUUCAUUAAACCCUCCCACCUAGAGGAAGGAGAAGUCGUAACA
This 324-nucleotide ribosomal RNA is filed under the name uncultured eukaryote. RNAcentral describes it as "partial 18S ribosomal RNA". It matches the Rfam family "Eukaryotic small subunit ribosomal RNA", at positions 1470 to 1796 of the family's 1831-position model. The record is from RNAcentral.